GGGUUGUGAGGUUAAGCGACUAAGCGUACACGGUGGAUGCCCUGGCAGUCAGAGGCGAUGAAGGGCGUGCUAAUCUGCGAUAAGCGCCGGUAAGGUGAUAUGAACCGUUAUAACCGGCGAUACCCGAAUGGGGAAACCCAGUGUGAUUCGUCACACUAUCAUUAACUGAAUCCAUAGGUUAAUGAGGCGAACCGGGGGAACUGAAACAUCUAAGUACCCCGAGGAAAAGAAAUCAACCGAGAUUCCCCCAGUAGCGGCGAGCGAACGGGGAGGAGCCCAGAGCCUGAAUCAGCAUGUGUGUUAGUGGAAGCGUCUGGAAAGGCGCGCGAUACAGGGUGACAGCCCCGUACACAAAAGCGCAUAUGCUGUGAGCUCGAUGAGUAGGGCGGGACACGUGGUAUCCUGUCUGAAUAUGGGGGGACCAUCCUCCAAGGCUAAAUACUCCUGACUGACCGAUAGUGAACCAGUACCGUGAGGGAAAGGCGAAAAGAACCCCGGCGAGGGGAGUGAAAAAGAACCUGAAACCGUGUACGUACAAGCAGUGGGAGCACAGGUUUACCUGUGUGACUGCGUACCUUUUGUAUAAUGGGUCAGCGACUUAUAUUCUGUAGCAAGGUUAACCGAAUAGGGGAGCCGUAGGGAAACCGAGUCUUAAC
Molecule: ribosomal RNA, 656 nt
Filed under: Salmonella enterica subsp. enterica serovar Kentucky
Lineage: Bacteria; Pseudomonadati; Pseudomonadota; Gammaproteobacteria; Enterobacterales; Enterobacteriaceae
Description: partial 23S ribosomal RNA
Rfam family: Bacterial large subunit ribosomal RNA
Source: RNAcentral